RNAcentral lists this ribosomal RNA (253 nucleotides) under uncultured prokaryote. Its description in RNAcentral is "partial 16S ribosomal RNA". It matches the Rfam family "Bacterial small subunit ribosomal RNA", at positions 524 to 776 of the family's 1533-position model. The record is from RNAcentral.
GACGUAGGAGGCGAGCGUUAUCCGGAUUCACUGGGCGUAAAGCGCAUGUAGGCGGUUCGAUAAGUCCGUGGUUAAAGCCCCUGGCUCAACUGGGGGAGGUCCAUGGAGACUGUCAGACUUGAGGGCAACAGAGGCACGUGGAACUCCCGGUGUAGCGGUGGAAUGCGUAGAGAUCGGGAAGAACACCCGUGGCGAAGGCGACGUGCUGGGUUGCACCUGACGCUGAGAUGCGAAAGUGUGGGGAGCAAACGGG